This 330-nucleotide small nuclear RNA is filed under the name Ursus maritimus (polar bear). Its description in RNAcentral is "7SK RNA (ENSUMAG00000016705.1)". It matches the Rfam family "7SK RNA". Rfam says of the family: 7SK was discovered as an abundant small nuclear RNA in the mid-70s but a possible function has only recently been suggested. Two independent studies have found that 7SK RNA binds the CDK9/cyclin T complex (known as elongation factor P-TEFb). Lineage: Eukaryota; Metazoa; Chordata; Mammalia; Carnivora; Ursidae. The record is from Rfam by way of RNAcentral.
GGAUGUAAGGGUGAUCUGGCCGCAACAUCUGUCACCCCGUUGAUUGCCAGGGUGGAUUGAGCUCAUCUGGCUAGCUAGGCAAGUAUCCCCUUCCUCUCUCACGUCUCCAUGUGCAUCCCUCCCAAAGCUGUGCAUUGGUCAAAGAGGACAACCUUCCCCAAUAAAGGAAGACCAUUCUUUGGUCAAGAGUAUACGAGUAACUGCACUUGCCUGCUAGAACCUCUAAGCAAGCUCCCAAGGCCCAUUUGUAGAAGAAGGUAGGGUAGGCGAGCUUCCAAGAUUCCAGACACAUCCAAAUGAGGCACUGCAUGUGGCAGUCUGCCUUUCCUU